UCUGGUGGCUUGUCGUCGUGGCACCACCCGUUCUCAUUCCGAACACGGAAGUGAAACGCGAUCGAGCCGAUGGUACUCGCAAGGGGAGAGUAGGUAGCCGCCAGUU
RNAcentral lists this ribosomal RNA (106 nucleotides) under Candidatus Niyogibacteria bacterium CG10_big_fil_rev_8_21_14_0_10_46_36. The record is from RNAcentral. Lineage: Bacteria; Candidatus Niyogiibacteriota.